Long non-coding RNA from Manduca sexta (tobacco hornworm), 841 nucleotides. RefSeq lists it as uncharacterized. The record is from RefSeq and is a predicted model, not a curated record. Lineage: Eukaryota; Metazoa; Arthropoda; Insecta; Lepidoptera; Sphingidae. The transcript is spliced from 2 exons.
CAGCGAAAUACUGCACAAAAAUCCGUAACCGAGUCAGAAUGUAAACGAAUAGAAUACAGUUAAAUCCUUUGUACAUAAAUAUGUAAAUGGAUCAGAUGAUCGAAGAUUUAAAUGCAUGUUCCAUGCAACUCUGGGAUUGGAUCGCAUUCUUCCACGAUGCUUUGAUCCAAGACUUUGUACACCGUCUAAAUCCAGGAAUGUCAGGAAUUUCCAGAAAAAUAUGAAUAAAACAUCCCGCCGUUCGAUUUCAAAUAUGUUUCGUAAUAGUGCAUUUAUCUGAACGUGGUUUGGAGUAUUGAGAUUUUUGAUAUGAUUGGUCAACUUCAGAGAAUAGACGUGAGGUUUUGGUUUCGAUUUCUAGAACUUCCUACCUUAACGUGGCCGCCUACUGUGAAUGACGUCAUGAAAAACAAUACCCUGACAAAAAUAAACUAAGAAACCUAUUAAAGGCAUUAUUUAGUAAACUAAAGAGAAGAUAUUGAAUUAUAGCUCUAAGGACUGUAGGCAUUAGGACCCAUUAUUUAUAGCCUUUGGGAUUUUUCUGUUUGUCUCAGAUGUUUUUUUAUCUAUAACUGAAUGGCAGUUAGAGCUGUCCACAUGCCUGGUGUCACCUGGUGAGCUGGUCCACAUGAUGGAUUGUAUAAGCAAUAUACAAUCCAUGAACAGUAGCAACACAAUUCAAAAUUUAAUUACAAAGCAUGGUGCAUGGUACUGCCCCGUCCUGAGAUAUUCAAUUUUAAGUUCAAGUUACUAUUACAUUGGUUUUAAUACCUUCAAUCCGACAUACGCAUGCUGGAAAAAUGUUAUUUGGCGGUAGGAAUAAAUAUUAUUGUGUAUCCAA